RNAcentral lists this long non-coding RNA (779 nucleotides) under Nicotiana benthamiana. Its description in RNAcentral is "long non-coding RNA (NBEN_LNC031227)". Lineage: Eukaryota; Viridiplantae; Streptophyta; Magnoliopsida; Solanales; Solanaceae. The record is from RNAcentral.
CGUGCUCAUUCCCCAUUUUUCAAUCCCUUCUUCUUCGUUCCUUUAAAUCGAAAACCAACAGAAUCCCUCUUCAGGUUUUCCUCUUCGUCAUCACCAUGGAAGAGCACUUGAAAAGUUGAAGAGAAACCAGCCGUUGAACCAUAUGCACGACCCCAGCCCCCCUGUCAUCAUCUUCUUCGUUAAAAAACACCAGCCGCUAUUCACACACAAAAAAACCAUCCCGUUAGUCACCUUCCCCAGCGGCAAACUCCUUGUAAUUCCCCCAUUUCCAGCCAAGUUCACAGAGCCAACCCAUCAUACACAUUCACGCACGGACAAGGGGUGGUAGAAAAAAGUAGCGAAAUGAAGAGAGGAUCAGUUUAUUGUUCCUCUGAUUCUGGAGUUUAGUUCCUUCUAAUUUUCAGUCUGGACUUGUUCUUCAUUGUUGUUGUUCAGUGGAGAGGUUGGAAGCGAGGAGGCGUCGGGGUACUGUCCCGUGGUUUCCCGGUUCGAUUGUUACUGAUUUCGUUUGAAGCUGGGUCGAUUUCUGAUUGUAAUUGUCGUGUCGUUUCAAUCCGUGUAAUUUCCGCAUUUCAAUUAAUCAGAAAGCUAAUUUCAGGUUACUUCUAAUCUUUUUUACUUCAUUUUGGAUCUGAAUAUGAUUUGUGCUGGUGUUUGGGGUUGUUUUGCCCUUGUGGUAGUCUGCAAUUCGCUUGGUUUCGUAGCUGUUAGUAAAUCAUGAAUUGGCUAUGGAUGUUGUAUGAUUCCUUGACAAUGUUCUCUGAUUUUCAAACAUGAGC